Molecule: ribosomal RNA, 435 nt
Filed under: uncultured bacterium
Lineage: Bacteria
Description: partial 16S ribosomal RNA
Rfam family: Bacterial small subunit ribosomal RNA
Source: RNAcentral
AGCGAUCGCUGGCUGCAGGCUUAACACAUUCAAGUCGAGCGCGCAUAACAAUAUUUCAACUACAGACGUGUGCGUAACGCGUGGGAACGUACCUUUUUGUUCGUAACAACACAGGGAAACUUUUUCUAAUACCUGGUAAUGCCUUACGUGGAAAGAUUUAUCGCCGAAAGAUCGUCCCGCGUCGGAUUAGCUAGUUGGUGAGGUAUUGGCUCACCACACCGACGAUCAGUAGCUUGUCUGAGAGGAUGAUCAGCCACAUUGGGACUAAGACACGGCCCAAACUCCUACGGGAGGCAGCAGUGGGGAACAUUGGACACCGGGCGCAAGCCUGAUCCAGCCAUGCCGCGUGAGUGAUGAAGGCACUAGGGUUGUAAAGCUCUUUUGUGCGGGAAGAUAAUGACGGUACCGCAAGAAUAAGCCCCGGCUAACUUCGUG